This 627-nucleotide ribosomal RNA is filed under the name uncultured Acidobacteriota bacterium. RNAcentral's name for it is "bacterial SSU rRNA". It matches the Rfam family "Bacterial small subunit ribosomal RNA", at positions 8 to 651 of the family's 1533-position model. The record is from RNAcentral. Lineage: Bacteria; Pseudomonadati; Acidobacteriota.
AGAGUUUGAUCCUGGCUCAGAAUCAACGCUGGCGGCGUGCCUAACACAUGCAAGUCGAACGAGAAAGGGGAGCAAUCCCUGAGUAAAGUGGCGACCGGGUGAGUAACACGUGACCAAUCUACCCUGGAGUGGGGGAUAACCUCGGGAAACCGGGGCUAAUACCGCAUAACAUCCCUGGAUCGGAAGAACUGGGGAUCAAAGGAGCAAUUCGCUUGAGGAGGAGGUCGCGGCUGAUUAGCUAGUUGGCGGGGUAAUGGCCCACCAAGGCGAAGAUCGGUAGCCGGCCUGAGAGGGCGCACGGCCACACUGGAACUGAAACACGGUCCAGACUCCUACGGGAGGCAGCAGUGGGGAAUUUUGCGCAAUGGGGGAAACCCUGACGCAGCAACGCCGCGUGGAGGAUGAAGUCCCUUGGGACGUAAACUCCUUUCGACCCGGACGAUAAUGACGGUACGGGUGGAAGAAGCCCCGGCUAACUUCGUGCCAGCAGCCGCGGUAAUACGAGGGGGGCGAGCGUUGUUCGGAAUUAUUGGGCGUAAAGGGCGCGUAGGCGGUGCGGUAAGUCACCUGUGAAAUCUCUGGGCUCAACUCAGAGCUUGCAGGCGAAACUGCCGUGCUCGAGGGUGG